This 261-nucleotide ribosomal RNA is filed under the name uncultured archaeon. RNAcentral describes it as "partial 16S ribosomal RNA". It matches the Rfam family "Archaeal small subunit ribosomal RNA", at positions 748 to 1009 of the family's 1478-position model. The record is from RNAcentral.
CAGCCGUAAACUAUGCGCGUUAGGUGUAUCGGUGACCACGAGUUACCGAGGUGCCGAAGGGAAACCGUGAAACGUGCCGCCUGGGAAGUACGGUCGCAAGGCUGAAACUUAAAGGAAUUGGCGGGGGAGCACCACAACAGGUGGAGCCUGCGGUUUAAUUGGACUCAACGCCGGAAAUCUCACCGGAUAGGACAGACAUAUGAUAGUCGGGCUGAAGACUCUACUUGAUGAUCUGAGAGGAGGUGCAUGGCGUAGACGUCU